CAGUGAUGGUGGUACAAGGCUGGAAACACAUUCUGUUUAAAUAACAGCCAAUCAAUGUUUGGUCUGUAAAUUUGAGGAUGCUUAUUUGGUUCUUCCUUUGCAGUUGUUUGAACUCAUGAUACUGAGAUAUAGUUGCACUAAAUCGCUUUGCACUAUGCCCGGUGCGCUGGACCAUUCGAUCACCCAGGCUCGACAAAAAUCAAGCUUUCGGUGGCAGGGUGUUACCUUUCCCAGUCAGUAUUUAUGUAGCGUCGUAACACAGUACAUGACAUAUAAAGCAUGAAGAUCGAAUAUUACAGAUCAGCUGAGUUAUCUAUCGUGGAUUAAUGUAGAAUACAGUCACAGAAAUAAUUAUACUAUAAGAACAUCUAAACCAGUGACAACUCUACUACAACAUAUUUCAUCAAUCGAAUCACAAAUGAGGGUGAUACAAGGCUGAAAAUAUCAGACCUGUAAAUUUGCAGAAGCAUUUUUUAGUUCGUAUCUGGCAGGUAUUCUUUUUAUCUAGCCUAAGUGGUCCAGUGUUCUAGCGCGUCGGACAUAGUGCAUGGCGAUUUGGUGCCCAGUAGCAAUAGUUCGAAUCCCGUCUAGGGAAGCAAAUUUGCCGAUCUAACAUUAUUUAGAGAAAUUAUAUAUAUAUUAUUUGAAAUGGUUUUUAACUUUGGAUUUUCUUAGUACUUAUUUCAGGAUCAAAUAUUAAUAGAAUAAUGACUCAUUACUCAAUAUUACAUUCUAGCUCAGCCCCUACCCCUACCCCCGAAAAAUACUUUCUUUAUUUCCUUGUUAACUAGUAUUCACAUAAAAUGUUAGAAAAAUACGAUAUUUAUCUCAAUGAUUUAUUAUUCUUUAGCAAACCUAUUAUACUUUCUUUUUUAAACGCAAUUCUAAUUAUUCACUUUAUAUGAUUUACAAGUAUUAGGCAGACACAUAUAUUAAAAUUCUGAAAAGAGGCAUGUUUUAAAUAAUAUCUGGCGAUGUAAGUUUAUAUACUAGGCAUGUCGAAAACAACCAAAGUGAAGAUCAUAGCUUUAAGGAAGUCAUGACUUGGCUUAAUGUAAGGUCACAAAAUUGAAUCAUAUAAGAUGAUCCAACAUAAUGUAAAGGCUUUUCUUAUCAUUCAAAUAAAGAGAUAUGUCCUCGUUACUGACGAAACUUAUAACUCUAGUCUCAUCUGAACUUAUAUCAGUACUUAUUGAUGUAAUAUAAUUUAAUAAAAGAUGAUGAAUUAUCUUGUUCCUUCUAGAUUUUGGCAAAACACCAUAAAC
This 1265-nucleotide long non-coding RNA is filed under the name Mytilus galloprovincialis (Mediterranean mussel). The record is from RNAcentral. Lineage: Eukaryota; Metazoa; Mollusca; Bivalvia; Mytilida; Mytilidae.